RNAcentral lists this transfer RNA (65 nucleotides) under Gammarus roeselii. Its description in RNAcentral is "tRNA-Asp". The record is from RNAcentral. Lineage: Eukaryota; Metazoa; Arthropoda; Malacostraca; Amphipoda; Gammaridae.
AAAGUUCUAGUUAAAUUAUAACAUUAAGCUGUCAAAUUAAAAUUACUUAUACCAAGUGAACUUUA